RNAcentral lists this ribosomal RNA (319 nucleotides) under uncultured eukaryote. RNAcentral describes it as "partial 18S ribosomal RNA". It matches the Rfam family "Eukaryotic small subunit ribosomal RNA", at positions 1470 to 1796 of the family's 1831-position model. The record is from RNAcentral.
CCCUUAGAUGUCCUGGGCCGCACGCGUGCUACACUGACACUUACACCGAGUUUUUCCAAUGCCGAAAGGCCAUUGGUAAUCAGCAAUAAGUGUCGUGAUGGGGAUAGAUCUUUGGAAUUAUUGAUCUUGAACGAGGAAUGCCUAGUAAUCGUAGGUCAUCAGCCUGCGAUGAUUACGUCCCUGCCCUUUGUACACACCGCCCGUCGCACCUACCGAUUGAAUGGUCCGGUGAAAUCUCGGGACGGCGGCUUGGUCGCUUGCGUCCGACUGCUGAAACUUGAUUAAACCACAUCAUUUAGAGGAAGGUGAAGUCGUAACA